UGGGGAAUAUUGGACAAUGGGCGCAAGCCUGAUCCAGCCAUGCCGCGUGAGUGAUGAAGGCCCUAGGGUUGUAAAGCUCUUUCACCGGUGAAGAUAAUGACGGUAACCGGAGAAGAAGCUCCGGCUAACUUCGUGCCAGCAGCCGCGGUAAUACGAAGGGGGCUAGCGUUGUUCGGAUUUACUGGGCGUAAAGCGCACGUAGGCGGACUUUUAAGUCAGGGGUGAAAUCCCGGGGCUCAACCCCGGAAGUGCCUUUGAUACUGGAAGUCUUGAGUAUGGUAGAGGUGAGUGAAAUUCCGAGUGUAGAGGUGAAAUUCGUAGAUAUUCGGAGGAACACCAGUGGCGAAGGCGGCUCACUGGACCAUUACUGACGCUGAGGUGCGAAAGCGUGGGGAGCAAACAGG
Molecule: ribosomal RNA, 404 nt
Filed under: Actinomycetes bacterium
Lineage: Bacteria; Bacillati; Actinomycetota; Actinomycetes
Description: Actinobacteria bacterium partial 16S ribosomal RNA
Rfam family: Bacterial small subunit ribosomal RNA
Source: RNAcentral